UACAGAGGUCUCAAGCGUUGUUCGGAUUCAUUGGGCGUAAAGGGUGUGUAGGUGGCGCCGUAAGUCGGGUGUGAAAUUUCGGAGCUUAACUCCGAAACUGCAUUCGAUACUGCGGUGCUUGAGGACUGGAGAGGAGACUGGAAUUCAUGGUGUAGCAGUGAAAUGCGUAGAGAUCAUGAGGAAGACCAGUGGCGAAGGCGGGUCUCUGGACCACAACUGACGCUGAGGCGCGAAAGCUAGGGGAGCAAACAGG
Molecule: ribosomal RNA, 253 nt
Filed under: uncultured bacterium
Lineage: Bacteria
Description: partial 16S ribosomal RNA
Rfam family: Bacterial small subunit ribosomal RNA
Source: RNAcentral